AGUGGCGAACGGGUGAGUAACACGUGACUAACCUGCCCUCUAGUGGGGAAUAACCUCGGGAAACCGGGGCUAAUACCGCAUAACAUCCGCGGGUGCAAGUCCUGCGGAUCAAAGGAGCAAUUCGCUGGAGGAGGGGGUCGCGGCUGAUUAGCUAGUUGGUGAGGUAACGGCCCACCAAGGCGAUGAUCAGUAGCCGGCCUGAGAGGGCGCACGGCCACACUGGAACUGAAACACGGUCCAGACUCCUACGGGAGGCAGCAGUGGGGAAUUUUGCGCAAUGGGGGCAACCCUGACGAAGCAACGCCGCGUGGGUGAUGAAGUCUCUUGGGACGUAAAACCCUUUCGACGGGGAAGAAACCGCAAGGUUGACGGUACCCGUAGAAGAAGCCCCGGCUAACUCCGUGCCAGCAGCCGCGGUAAUACGGGGGGGGCAAGCGUUGUUCGGAAUUACUGGGCGUAAAGGGUGCGUAGGCGGUUCGUUAAGUUAGAUGUGAAAACUCUGGGCUCAACCCAGAGCCUGCAUCUAAAACUGGCGGGCUAGAGUUCUGGAGGGGGUAGCGGAAUUCCUGGUGUAGCGGUGAAAUGCGUAGAUAUCAGGAGGAACACCGGUGGCGAAGGCGGCUACCUGGACAGAAACUGACGCUGAGGCACGAAAGCUAGGGGAGCAAACAGGAUUAGAUACCCUGGUAGUCCUAGCCCUAAACGAUGGAUACUUGGUGUGACCGGGAUUGAAUCCGGUCGUG
RNAcentral lists this ribosomal RNA (743 nucleotides) under uncultured bacterium. Its description in RNAcentral is "bacterial SSU rRNA". It matches the Rfam family "Bacterial small subunit ribosomal RNA", at positions 94 to 845 of the family's 1533-position model. The record is from RNAcentral.